RNAcentral lists this ribosomal RNA (699 nucleotides) under uncultured bacterium. RNAcentral describes it as "bacterial SSU rRNA". It matches the Rfam family "Bacterial small subunit ribosomal RNA", at positions 1 to 694 of the family's 1533-position model. The record is from RNAcentral.
AGGAGGUUUGAUCCUGGCUCAGAUUGAACGCUGGCGGCAUGCCUAACACAUGCAAGUCGAACGGUAACGACGGGAGCUUGCUCCCGGGCGACGAGUGGCGGACGGGUGAGUAAUACUUAGGAAUCUGCCCAGUAGUGGGGGACAACUCGAGGAAACUCGAGCUAAUACCGCAUACGCCCUACGGGGGAAAGCGGAGGAUCUUUCGGGACUUCGCGCUAUUGGAUGAGCCUAAGUCGGAUUAGCUUGUUGGUGGGGUAAAGGCCUACCAAGGCAACGAUCUGUAGCUGGUCUGAGAGGACGAUCAGCCACACUGGGACUGAGACACGGCCCAGACUCCUACGGGAGGCAGCAGUGGGGAAUAUUGGACAAUGGGGGCAACCCUGAUCCAGCAAUGCCGCGUGUGUGAAGAAGGCCUGCGGGUUGUAAAGCACUUUCAGUAGAGAAGAAAUGCCCAUGGUUAAUACCCGUGGGUCUUGACGUAACCUACAGAAGAAGCACCGGCUAACUCCGUGCCAGCAGCCGCGGUAAUACGGAGGGUGCGAGCGUUAAUCGGAAUUACUGGGCGUAAAGCGCGCGUAGGCGGUUUGGUCAGUCGGAUGUGAAAGCCCUAGGCUCAACCUGGGAAUGGCAUUCGAUACUGCCUGACUAGAGUAUGGUAGAGGGAAGUGGAAUUUCCGGUGUAGCGGUGAAAUGCGUAGA